GGUCAAGCUACAAAGGGCGCAUGGUGAAUGCCUUGGCAUCAGGAGCCGAUGAAGGACGUGAUAAGCUGCGAUAAGCUUCGGGUAGGCGCACAUAGCCUGAGAUCCGAAGAUCUCCGAAUGAGGAAACUCACAUGGGAAACCCCAUGUAUCAUUAAGUGAAUACAUAGCUUAAUGAAGGUAACCCAGGGAACUGAAACAUCUAAGUACCUGGAGGAAGAGAAAGAAAAAUCGAUUUUCUUAGUAGCGGCGAGCGAAAGGGAAAGAGCCCAAACCGGAAACUUGUUUCCGGGGUUGUGGACAUAGCAUAAAAGUGGAGGCUAUUGUAACUGAAGAGAACUGGAAAGUUCCACCGUAGAAGGUAAUAGUCCUGUAAGUGAAACGAGAAGACCACGAGUUAUGAUCCAGAGUACCACGAGACACGUGAAACCUUGUGGGAAGCAGGGAGGACCACCUCCCAAGGCUAAAUACUACCUGAUGACCGAUAGUGAAGCAGUACCGUGAGGGAAAGGUGAAAAGAACCCCGGGAGGGGAGUGAAAUAGAACCUGAAACCGUGUGCCUACAACCGCUCAGAGCCCCUUAUGAGGGUGAUGAGGUGCUUUUUGUAGAACGAGCCAACGAGUUACGGUAUGUAGCAAGGUUAAGUACUUAAGGUACGGAGCCGAAGGGAAACCGAGUCUGAAUAGGGCGACUAGUUGCAUGCCGUAGACCCGAAACCGGGUGACCUAUCCAUGGCCAGGUUGAAGCGAGGGUAAAACCUCGUGGAGGACCGAACCACGUUGCUGUUGAAAAAGCAUGGGAUGAGCUGUGGAUAGCGGAGAAAUUCCAAUCGAACCCGGAGAUAGCUGGUUCUCUCCGAAAUAGCUUUAGGGCUAGCGUCGAGUAUGAGUAGUGGAGGUAGAGCACUGAAUGGGCUAGGGGGCAUAGCGCUUACCGAACCUUAUCAAACUCCGAAUGCCACAUACUUUGAGCUCGGCAGUCAGACUACGAAUGAUAAGAUCCGUGGUCAAAAGGGAAACAGCCCAGAUCGUCAGCUAAGGUCCCAAAGUGUAAGUUAAGUGGGAAAGGAUGUGAGAUUUCUAAGACAACUAGGAUGUUGGCUUAGAAGCAGCCAUUCAUUAAAAGAGUGCGUAAUAGCUCACUAGUCGAGAGAUCUUGCGCCGAAAAUGUAACGGGGCUAAACUUACCACCGAAGCUACGGGCUUGAACUUAGUUCAAGCGGUAGGAGAGCGUCGUAACCGGGCUGAAGUCGUACCGUAAGGAGCGGUGGACUGGUUACGAGUGAGAAUGUUGGCAUCAGUAGCGAGAUGUGGGUGAGAAUCCCACAGGCCGAAAACCUAAGGUUUCCUCAGGAAGGUUCGUCCGCUGAGGGUUAGUCGGGACCUAAGCCGAGGCCGAAAGGCGUAGGUGAUGGACAACUGGUUGAUAUUCCAGUACCACUACCAUCGUUAUUAUCGAUGGCGUGACGCAGGAGGAUAGUGUGUGCUAGCUAUUGGAUGCUAGUCUAAGCGUUUAGGCAGUGAGAGUAGGCAAAUCCGCUCUCAUAAUGCUGAGGCGUGAUGGGGAAGGUUCCACGGAACCGAAGUACAUGAUUCCACGCUGCCAAGAAAAGCGUCUAGAGAGAGAAGUAGUGCCCGUACCGCAAACCGACACAGGUAGGUGAGGAGAGAAUCCUAAGGCCGGCGGAAGAAUUACAGUUAAGGAACUCGGCAAAUUGACCCCGUAAGUUCGCGAGAAGGGGUGCCUACGAGAGUAGGCCGCAGAGAAUAGGCCCAAGCAACUGUUUAGCAAAAACACAGGUCUCUGCUAAAGCGUAAGCUGAUGUAUAGGGGCUGACGCCUGCCCGGUGCUGGAAGGUUAAGGGGAACACUUAGCGCAAGCGAAGGUGUGAACUUAAGCCCCAGUAAACGGCGGCCGUAACUAUAACGGUCCUAAGGUAGCGAAAUUCCUUGUCAGGUAAGUUCUGACCCGCACGAAUGGCGUAAUGACUUGGGCACUGUCUCAACUGUAAAUCCGGCGAAGUUGUAGUGCGAGUGAAGAUGCUCGCUACCCGCGAUUGGACGGAAAGACCCCGUAGAGCUUUACUGUAGCUUAGCAUUGAGUUUUGGUAUUGUCUGUACAGGAUAGGUGGGAGACUAGGAAACCAGGGCGUCAGCCUUGGUGGAGUCAACCUUGGGAUACCACCCUGACAGUACUGAAAUUCUAACUGGCGGCCAUGAAUCUGGUCACAGGACAUUGUUAGGUGGGCAGUUUGACUGGGGCGGUCGCCUCCUAAAAAGUAACGGAGGCGCCCAAAGGUUCCCUCAGAACGGUCGGAAAUCGUUCGAAGAGUGCAAAGGCAGAAGGGAGCCUGACUGCGACACCCACAAGUGGAGCAGGGACGAAAGUCGGGCUUAGUGAUCCGGUGGUACCUCGUGGGAGGGCCAUCGCUCAACGGAUAAAAGCUACCUCGGGGAUAACAGGCUGAUCUCCCCCAAGAGUCCACAUCGACGGGGAGGUUUGGCACCUCGAUGUCGGCUCGUCGCAUCCUGGGGCUGAAGUAGGUCCCAAGGGUUGGGCUGUUCGCCCAUUAAAGCGGCACGCGAGCUGGGUUCAGAACGUCGUGAGACAGUUCGGUCCCUAUCCGUCGCGGGCGUAGGAAAUUUGAGAGGAGCUGUCCUUAGUACGAGAGGACCGGGAUGGACUGACCUCUGGUGUACCAGUUGUUCCGCCAGGAGCACAGCUGGGUAGCUAAGUCGGGAAUGGAUAAACGCUGAAAGCAUCUAAGCGUGAAGCCAACCUCAAGAUUAGAUUUCCCAUAGCGUAAGCUAGUAAGAUCCCUUGAAGAACACAAGGUUGAUAGGUCGGGGGUGUAAGCAUGGUAACAUGUUCAGCUGACCGAUACUAAUAGAUCGAGGGCUUGACCAA
This 2905-nucleotide ribosomal RNA is filed under the name Clostridium perfringens. Its description in RNAcentral is "23S ribosomal RNA". It matches the Rfam family "Bacterial large subunit ribosomal RNA". Lineage: Bacteria; Bacillati; Bacillota; Clostridia; Eubacteriales; Clostridiaceae. The record is from RNAcentral.